Molecule: ribosomal RNA, 508 nt
Filed under: uncultured bacterium
Lineage: Bacteria
Description: partial 16S ribosomal RNA
Rfam family: Bacterial small subunit ribosomal RNA
Source: RNAcentral
GACGAACGCUGGCGGCGUGCCUAAUACAUGCAAGUCGAACGCUUCUUUCCUCCCGAGUGCUUGCACUCAAUUGGAAAGAGGAGUGGCGGACGGGUGAGUAACACGUGGGUAACCUACCCAUCAGAGGGGGAUAACACUUGGAAACAGGUGCUAAUACCGCAUAACAGUUUAUGCCGCAUGGCAUAAGAGUGAAAGGCGCUUUCGGGUGUCGUUGAUGGAUGGGCCCGCGGUGCAUUAGCUAGUUGGUGAGGUAACGGCUCACCAAGGCCACGAUGCAUAGCCGACCUGAGAGGGUGAUCGGCCACACUGGGACUGAGACACGGCCCAGACUCCUACGGGAGGCAGCAGUAGGGAAUCUUCGGCAAUGGACGAAAGUCUGACCGAGCAACGCCGCGUGAGUGAAGAAGGUUUUCGGAUCGUAAAACUCUGUUGUUAGAGAAGAACAAGGACGUUAGUAACUGAACGUCCCCUGACGGUAUCUAACCAGAAAGCCACGGCUAACUACGUG